ACUCCUACGGGAGGCAGCAGUGGGGAAUAUUGCACAAUGGGCGCAAGCCUGAUGCAGCCAUGCCGCGUGUGUGAAGAAGGCCUUCGGGUUGUAAAGCACUUUCAGUCGUGAGGAAGGUAGUGUAGUUAAUAGCUGCAUUAUUUGACGUUAGCGACAGAAGAAGCACCGGCUAACUCCGUGCCAGCAGCCGCGGUAAUACGGAGGGUGCGAGCGUUAAUCGGAAUUACUGGGCGUAAAGCGCAUGCAGGUGGUUUGUUAAGUCAGAUGUGAAAGCCCGGGGCUCAACCUCGGAAUUGCAUUUGAAACUGGCAGACUAGAGUACUGUAGAGGGGGGUAGAAUUUCAGGUGUAGCGGUGAAAUGCGUAGAGAUCUGAAGGAAUACCGGUGGCGAAGGCGGCCCCCUGGACAGAUACUGACACUCAGAUGCGAAAGCGUGGGGAGCGAAACAGGAUUAGAUACCC
RNAcentral lists this ribosomal RNA (461 nucleotides) under uncultured bacterium. RNAcentral describes it as "bacterial SSU rRNA". It matches the Rfam family "Bacterial small subunit ribosomal RNA", at positions 335 to 787 of the family's 1533-position model. The record is from RNAcentral.